Molecule: ribosomal RNA, 515 nt
Filed under: uncultured Streptococcus sp.
Lineage: Bacteria; Bacillati; Bacillota; Bacilli; Lactobacillales; Streptococcaceae
Description: bacterial SSU rRNA
Rfam family: Bacterial small subunit ribosomal RNA
Source: RNAcentral
GGACGAACGCUGGCGGCGUGCCUAAUACAUGCAAGUAGAACGCUGAAGAGAGGAGCUUGCUCUUCUUGGAAGAGUUGCGAACGGGUGAGUAACGCGUAGGUAACCUGCCUUGUAGCGGGGGAUAACUAUUGGAAACGAUAGCUAAUACCGCAUAACAAUGGAUGACACAUGUCAUUUAUUUGAAAGGGGCAACUGCUCCACUACAAGAUGGACCUGCGUUGUAUUAGCUAGUAGGUGAGGUAACGGCUCACCUAGGCGACGAUACAUAGCCGACCUGAGAGGGUGAUCGGCCACACUGGGACUGAGACACGGCCCAGACUCCUACGGGAGGCAGCAGUAGGGAAUCUUCGGCAAUGGGGGCAACCCUGACCGAGCAACGCCGCGUGAGUGAAGAAGGUUUUCGGAUCGUAAAGCUCUGUUGUAAGUCAAGAACGAGUGUGAGAGUGGAAAGUUCACACUGUGACGGUAGCUUACCAGAAAGGGACGGCUAACUACGUGCCAGCAGCCGCGGUAAU